Molecule: long non-coding RNA, 1574 nt
Organism: Astatotilapia calliptera (eastern happy)
Lineage: Eukaryota; Metazoa; Chordata; Actinopteri; Cichliformes; Cichlidae
Source: Ensembl
GCUGUGAAGAAUGGAUAGCUCAACAAACGGGUGAUUUUACAUCAAAAAGAUUACAUCUUUUCUCCGAUGUUUCAGAAAAUCAUUAUAUUAAAUUUUGAGCCUUGAACCAAUCCAACAAGCUAUGAUGCUUUUUACUCAUACCUGUAAAAAAUGUUGAUUUUGAUCAAAAGAACAAAGAAAAAUGUGGGGGGAAAAAACAAAAAGGUGCCCGACUGUAAAGAAUUACUUUUAACAGUGAAGGAACUACUCAUCCCACAAUGCACUACAAAUUCCAUAUUCCGUACACAUUGGUGUUUCAGGUUAGGAUUGCAGCUUGAAUAGUUCUACCCACUACUGCAGUAGAGUAGCUCUACCCACUAGACUUUUGAAGCCUGUAGCUCACAAUCAAAAUCCCCAUGAAGAAAAAGAAUUGGAUUUUUUACUGUUGAGGCCUAUAGGGCUUUUUAUACACUUAGAUGGCUUCGAUGUGGUGCCCAGUUACGGAGAUAUCAGCUGCAGAAAUAUCUGCCGCCUCUUGAAUAUAAUGGUACAAUGCUGUGUGGUGCACAAAGAACCAAAAAGUAUACAUUUGAAAAACUCAUCAGUGAUGUCUCUUUCUUGAAAUCACCAUCUUAUCUCAGACUGUAUGAGGUAAGUACCACCAAGCUCCAUUAUUUUCAAGAGAACAAAAAAAAGAGAAACAAAAAAGAUCCACUGCACUCUAUCCACAGACAACAUGUAUAUAAGCUGUGUCACUCAAAGUGACAAAUCACAAAGGGUCAUUCAGAAUCACAAAGAUUAAAAAAAAUAGUCCACGCUCCACUCACUGUGAAGAAAAACACAAUAAAAAGGACGUCAAACCGGCUUCUCCUGUGAGAGCAGUACCGAUAAACCACAAGGCGCAAUUCCUAAUGUGGAUCUCACGUUUUCUUGACCAGAAAACCUCACUCGUGGGAUACAUACUGCCGCACUUUGCAAUCCACUGCUUCGUACAUUAGUUCAUAAUAGUGUCUCAGGAGGAAAUCGCGGGCUAAACUAAAAGCACAUGAGGGUAUGCAGGAGAGAGUAAAUUACAGCACUUUAGCGCAUAAUAAUUCUUGGAAUGUACUGAACAUCAGAGCCUAAUAGCUGAAAAUAACAAUGCAUUCGUCUCUGAGGGUCAAUUUUUCUUUAAUGACACUUGCCUUUUUUAUUGUGUAUGGAACCAUCAAAGCAGCAGCUCCUGUGUAAUCGUUCAGGCCUCUCGGGCUUUCACACGGCACUCAGUUUCUUAUCUGCACAUGCGCAUUAGCAUGACAGAUGGAAAAACGCAGCCCUGUUGUGUUAUAGCAUCAAAACUGAUGCUAUAAAAGAGUUGUGGGGUUUUUUUAAUAGUUUUUAUGUGAACACAAAGAGCUUCUCAUAAAUUAACAGCUUAAAUCAUGUGUUUUUGUUUUGUUUGUCUUUUUUUUAAGAUUUGCAUUUCAUCAGAGUCUAAUUUAAGUCAAAUGGUGGUGUUGAGCUUUAAAUUACAUACCAGUGCACACAUUUUAGUUUUUAUUUAUAUAUAUUUUUAAUUAGCAAUGCAUACAGGUAGCCAAACUAGUCACAGCAUA